GAUGAAGAACGCAGCGAAAUGCGAUACUUGGUGUGAAUUGCAGAAUCCCGUGAACCAUCGAGUCUUUGAACGCAAGUUGCGCCUCAAGCCAUUAGGUUGAGGGCACGUCUGCCUGGGCGUCACAUAUCGUUGCCUGAUGCCAGUUUCCUCGUUAUGGGUGACUGUGCAGGGCGAAUGAUGGCUUCCCGUGAGCAUUGUUGCCUCAUGGUUGGUUGAAAAUUGAGUCCUUGGUAGGGAGCGCCGUGAUAGAUGGUGGUUGAGUGACGAACGAGACCCAAUCAUGUGAGACCCCUACCGAAUUUGGCCUUCAUGACCCACAUGCGUCUUUGGAACGCUCAUGACGAGACCUCAGGUCAGGCGGGGCUACCCGCUGAGUUUAAGCAUAUCAAUAAGCGGAGGA
This 400-nucleotide unclassified non-coding RNA is filed under the name soil metagenome. RNAcentral's name for it is "partial contains 5.8S ribosomal RNA, internal transcribed spacer 2, and large subunit ribosomal RNA". The stretch from base 1 to 122 matches the Rfam family "5.8S ribosomal RNA", at positions 35 to 154 of the family's 154-position model. The record is from RNAcentral.